AGGCUGGAAUUUACUGGAUAAAUAUAAUUGAUCAUUUCUCUGCUGGAUGGAGCCUUCCUAUAGCUGCUUUUCUGGAACUCGUUGGCUUAACCUGGAUGUAUGGGGUAAACAGAUUCAUCAAGGACAUUGAGAUGAUGGUUGGGGAAAGGAAUUGGCUCUUCUGGCUGUGGUGGAGAAUGUGUUGGAUUUUUAUCUCUCCGUGUUUGCUGGCAGUAAUCUUUAAUCUGGUCCUUUACAACAUUUGCUCCACCAACAUAUGGACCUGUUCCAUACCCUGUCUGGGCAAUAGCACUUGGCUGGUGUAUGAUAAUCUUCUGUGUUAUGUGGAUCCCCAUUAUCGCCAUUGUGAGAGUUGUCCAAGCUGAGGGCUCCACCUUGUGCCAGAAAGUUUCUGCUGCUUGCACAUCAGCUCCUGAUUGGGGUCCGUACUUGGAAGAACACAGAGAGGAAAGAUACAGAAAAAGGUCUGAUUCUACAGAAGCUCCUAAUUGUGUGCAGCUUCUUACUACAUUUAAGAUUUGAAAGCUACAGAGAAAAAAUUCCCCUUCAAUUUGCAAACAAUGGCCCUCAAAAUCUAAUGCGAUUCUAGUGCGCGGUAAGUUCAGUGGGAGUUCUCCGGAACACCCAUCAACUCAGUUAGGACCCAGCUCCAGCAGCUCCUGGUCUUUUGUUGAUGUUCCUUGUGGCCUGUUGGGGAUGUAGCCUCUCCCUGUACCAAACGUGGCUAACAACAUAUGAAGGGGAUGAGUGAGCAGCGGGUUGUCUGAAUGUCUAAGUUGCUGCAUCUUAGGCUUUUAGUUGAAAUCAGAAAUUGAUUCGUAAUUGCAUGAACACUGAUGAUCAGCUUCAGUGUGGCCCAUCUGAGGUCUCAGGCUAGGCUUACAGCCCAGACCCACAGCUGAUCACAUCAGAAAAAAAUAUACUUCCAGUUUCGAACAGUAUAAGGAAGCUCCUGGUGACAUCAUCUUUUUAAGCAGCAACCAGCACUCUUCUCCAUAACCUGGUUACAUAAUCCAAGCUUUUCAGUCUAAUGCUUAUAUCUAAUAUCUAAGGUGUGCCACUCAUUCCCCCUGCCUUGGCAUUGGGGUGGGGGGUUGGGGGGGAGGUGGUCAAGUAACAGAUACCUCAACUGGGUAAAUGCUGGCACUUACACUGAGAUGUGCACUCCCUUGCUGAUUUUAGAGCCAUCAUUUUCAAAUUGAGGAAUUGGGCUGCUGUAAAGAAAGAUUUAUAUUUCUUGCGAUAAUUUCAAGGAGCAGAUUGGUAACUUUACAAAUUCUAUACCUGUGCGGAGCUGAAGCACAUAUGAGGAAUUCAAGGAAAAUGAUAUUAGGCAUUGGGCUGAAUUCCCAAUUGAGUUUUCCAACAGCUGAAGUUCUGUGCUAGGAAAACAGAUCCAUAUAAGUCCCCCUUUGGCACUUUAUUCAAAAGUAACACGAGUAUAAAAUCAUUAAGGGGAAAUUAGGUAAAUUUAGAAAAGGGCUAUUUGUCACUUUUUCUCAGAAAUCUUAAUUGACGUUUCUUCCAUUGGAUGAGAUUUCUGGUGAGCAGGGAUAUUGUUGGAGCACCAAUGAAAUGGGUGGAAGAGUUCUGAAAAAUGGGGCAAUAGCAGUUAAUUACUGGGCCUCAACUGGGGAGCAACUGGUCUUUCCUUGACCCUCUGUUUCCACUUUAUGACCUAAGAACCCCUAUGCUGCCAUCCAAGAUUUACAGCCUCUUUCCAAUCAUCAAUCCUCAUAACCAAUUGUACCUGGGGAAUAGCGGAAGGAAACGAGCCUAGAAUUCAGGCUCUUUUCCCCAUUAUCAUCUUUAGGUGUCAACGGGUAAGGGGCAGGUGUGGUAAUCUGAGGUGCAAGACACCUUCUAGAGAAUGUGAGCAGAUUGAUCACAUGACUGUAUUGCCCAAUAGCUGUGUGGGGCUGGCUACAAUGUUAAUGAGUGGUUUAGA
This is a long non-coding RNA of Carcharodon carcharias (great white shark), 1948 nucleotides long. RefSeq lists it as uncharacterized. The transcript is spliced from 4 exons. The record is from RefSeq and is a predicted model, not a curated record. Lineage: Eukaryota; Metazoa; Chordata; Chondrichthyes; Lamniformes; Lamnidae.